RNAcentral lists this small nucleolar RNA (108 nucleotides) under Corchorus capsularis. Its description in RNAcentral is "Plant small nucleolar RNA R71". It matches the Rfam family "Plant small nucleolar RNA R71". From Rfam's summary of the family: R71 is a member of the C/D box family of snoRNAs containing the C (UGAUGA) and D (CUGA) box motifs. Multiple nearly identical copies of this snoRNA have been identified in Arabidopsis, and it is thought to function as a 2'-O-ribose methylation guide for 18S ribosomal RNA. Lineage: Eukaryota; Viridiplantae; Streptophyta; Magnoliopsida; Malvales; Malvaceae. The record is from Rfam by way of RNAcentral.
AUGCCAUGGUGAGGGCAAUUGGUGCAAAGCAUCUUAAAAUCUAUCCCAUGCUUGGUAAAAAUUUUCAUCCUUUUGUUGUUGAAAAUCAGCAAUUCGUUGUCUUCCUUU